This 2576-nucleotide unclassified non-coding RNA is filed under the name Hevea brasiliensis (rubber tree). Lineage: Eukaryota; Viridiplantae; Streptophyta; Magnoliopsida; Malpighiales; Euphorbiaceae. The record is from RNAcentral.
CCAACUGCCAAUUACAGAGCGCACACUGUAGGAAACAACCAAGAAAUUACACUAAGAACCCGACUUUCUAUAUUACUCACAUCAAGUAUGCCUGAAUCCAUUCUGUGUCUAUGCACCAUUUCCAUAGAGGCAAGAGGAGUGUUCUAAUGGCGGAGUUAGGAGAAGAAAGGUCAUCACCAGAAGAGCAACAAGUGCAAGAACAAUAUGAACAUGGAACAAGCCUAUCUAAACAAAGAUUAUUCGAUUUGGAGGCAGAUGAAGGUAGCGCUAAUGCUGAUCGGCAGAAGGCAGAUUGGGGAACAAUCUGGAAGCUUGCGUUUCAAUGCAUUGGUGUUGUUUAUGGUGAUUUAGGUACAUCUCCAUUGUACGUUUUACCUGGAAUUUUUCCUGAUGGGAUCAAGAACGAGGAGGAUAUCCUUGGAGUGCUUUCUUUGAUUAUUUACUCGAUUAUUGUCAUCACCUUGAUUAAGUAUGUAUUCAUCGUUUUGGCUGCAAAUGAUAAUGGGGAUGGAGGAACCUUUGCACUUUAUUCUCUUAUAUGUCGCCAUGCCAAGGUCAAUUUGAUACCAAACCAGCAGGCUGAAGAUAGAGAAGUGUCUACUUAUAAGUUGGAUUUACCAAAACGCAGUACGAGGAUGGCUUCGGCUCUCAAAUAUUCACUUGAGAGUAGCCUUAUAAUCAAGUAUUCUCUAUUGUUCACAACCAUGAUUGGAGUGUCCAUGGUCCUUGGAGAUGGCAUUCUGACACCCUGCAUAUCUGUAUUAUCUGCUGUUGGAGGUAUUAGGGAGGCUGCUCCUAGCCUUUCACAAGAUGCAAUCAUGUGGAUUUCAGUGGUGAUUUUGAUUCUAUUGUUCCAAGUACAGAGGUUUGGAACUGACAAAGUUGGCUAUACUUUUGCUCCAAUUCUAGUGCUAUGGUUUGCUUUUAUUGCAUUUAUUGGGCUUUUCAACUUCAUCAAGUAUGACCCUGGUGUAAUCAAGGCUGUCAAUCCAUGGUACAUUGUCAAAUAUUUCCAGAGGAAUAAGAAAAAAGCUUGGAUUUCUAUUGGAGGUGUCAUUUUAUGCCUCACAGGGUCUGAAGCUUUGUUUGCUGAUUUGGGCCACUUCAAUAUUCGCUCAAUUCAAUUAAGCAGUUGUGCUGUACUCGUUCCCUCUGUCUUGUUAGCCUAUAUUGGCCAAUGUUCCUAUCUCCGUAAAAAUACCGAAGAUGUCACUGAUGCCUUCUAUAAAUCAAUCCCAAGUAUGUUGUUACUAGACAUGACUUAUAUCAGAAUCAUUGCUUAUUCCGAGUUUUUAUUGUUGCAGAACCAAUGUAUUGGCCGCAGUUUGUUGUGGCAAUAUUGGCCGCCAUCAUUGCUAGUCAGUCAUUAAUCUCUGCAUCCUUCUCUAUCAUCCAACAAUCUGCAGCUCUAGGGUGUUUCCCCCGAAUUCAGGUCAUGCAUACAUCUGCAGAACACGAAGGACAAGUUUAUGUGCCUGAGAUCAACACUCUUUUGAUGUUAGCCUGUGUGGGUGUCACUCUUGGCUUCAAAAACACUUUAACGAUUGGCAAUGCAUAUGGAAUUGCUGUAACAUUUGUUUUCGUGAUUACAUCAAUGUUUCUUGUCCUUGUUAUGGUUAUGAUAUGGAAAACAAAUAUCAUCCUCAUAAUCAUCUAUGUCCUGACCAUCGGUCUCAUUGAAGUGUUAUUUUUGAGCUCUACAUUAUACAAGUUCGUUGAUGGAGGUUACAUUCCUUUACUAUUUGCCUCCACUGUGGUCUCCAUUAUGUUCAUAUGGAACUAUGGCUACAGGAAGAAGUAUAUGUACGAGCUCGAAAAUAAAAUUGCAAUGAAAACACUUACUGAUAUAGUUUCUGAUGAGAGGAUCCAUCGAGUAGAAGGUCUUGGUUUAUUCUAUACACAUCUUGUUCACGGCAUACCUCCCAUAUUUACUCAUUAUGUGUCGCAUGUCCAAGCCUUGCAUAAAGUUCUUGUCUUUAUCUCAAUCAAGUCGCUGCCCAUCAGUAAGGUUCCAGCUGAGGAACGGUUCUUGUUCGGACGAGUAAAGCCUGGAGAGUUGAUUUUCAGAUGUAUAGUAAGAUAUGGAUACAAGGAUUCGAGAAAGGAUCAGAAGACAUUUGAGGAGUUGCUAGCAAAUCAGUUGAAGGACUUCAUAGGGGAAGAUAGCGGGGCAGAAGACAGGCAAAGGGAAUUGGCAUUGGUAGAUAAUGCUUUGAGAGAUGGUUUUGUUUAUUUGAUGGGUGAGUGUGAGGUGAUGGCUGCAAAUGGGUCUACCUGGGUUAAAAAAUUGACCGUGGACUACCUCUACAAUUGGUUAAUUAGAUUUGUGAGGCAGCCAGAUGAAGUUUUCUUGAUUCCUCGCAAGCAAUUACUCAAAGUGGGAAUGACUUAUGAUGUUUAGAGAUCUAGCUAGCCUCACCAGCUCAAUUAGUAAUAAUCUUGAUGUUCAAGGAGUAUUUUCAUCAGCAGGGUUUGGUAGUUAUUGCUGGACAGGUGUACGGAAUAUCUUUGUCCCCUUGUUAACUUUCUUCUAUAUUAAAAAUACUUAUCUUUGCUUAUGAAAAAUAAUCUUGGAG